RNAcentral lists this transfer RNA (85 nucleotides) under Citrobacter sp. NCU1. Its description in RNAcentral is "tRNA-Leu". The record is from RNAcentral. Lineage: Bacteria; Pseudomonadati; Pseudomonadota; Gammaproteobacteria; Enterobacterales; Enterobacteriaceae.
ACAGUAUUACAAUGAGUUAGUAGACGCAGUUGAUUCAAAAUCAACCGUAGAAAUACGUGCCGGUUCGAGUCCGGCCUUCGCACCA